This 381-nucleotide long non-coding RNA is filed under the name Scleropages formosus (Asian bonytongue). RNAcentral describes it as "lncRNA (ENSSFOG00015025729.1)". Lineage: Eukaryota; Metazoa; Chordata; Actinopteri; Osteoglossiformes; Osteoglossidae. The record is from RNAcentral.
GCGUGUUUGAAUUAUUUAAUAAAAAAUUAAAAAAUAAAAAUAUUUACGUAAAUUCGACUUGCGUAAAUCCGGAUUUCCGUAAAAAAACAAUUCCCGGCAUACGUUAUUUACGGACAGCGGUUUCGUUCAUUCGAAACAUCUGAAAUACGUUACAUGUUCAGCGUAACCAGACAAGGAUCUCCUAAAACAAAGGAACAGAGCAGCAGAAUGGACUGAUAGCACUACUAUAUGAUAGCUGAUGGAUCACUGCUCCACUUGCAGAUUUCAGUGCCAUCUUGUUUUUGUGAGGUCUUGUUAAAUCUUUAGAAGACCAGGUCUUUUGUCCCUUUUUUCUCUGAGUGCAUCUGGGCUCCAGCAGUGAGGGAGAGGAUCCUUGAGGCA